AGUGAACGCUGGCGGUAGGCCUAACACAUGCAAGUCGAACGGCAGCACAGUAAGAGCUUGCUCUUACGGGUGGCGAGUGGCGGACGGGUGAGGAAUACAUCGGAAUCUACUUUUUCGUGGGGGAUAACGUAGGGAAACUUACGCUAAUACCGCAUACGACCUACGGGUGAAAGCAGGGGAUCUUCGGACCUUGCGCGAUUGAAUGAGCCGAUGUCGGAUUAGCUAGUUGGCGGGGUAAAGGCCCACCAAGGCGACGAUCCGUGGCUGGUCUGAGAGGAUGAUCAGCCACACUGGAACUGAGACACGGUCCAGACUCCUACGGGAGGCAGCAGUGGGGAAUAUUGGACAAUGGGCGCAAGCCUGAUCCAGCCAUACCGCGUGGGUGAAGAAGGCCUUCGGGUUGUAAAGCCCUCUUGUUGGGAAAGAAAAGCAGCAGGUUAAUACCCCGCUGUUCUGACGGUACCCAAAGAAUAAGCACCGGCUAACUUCGUG
This 492-nucleotide ribosomal RNA is filed under the name uncultured bacterium. Its description in RNAcentral is "partial 16S ribosomal RNA". It matches the Rfam family "Bacterial small subunit ribosomal RNA", at positions 29 to 507 of the family's 1533-position model. The record is from RNAcentral.